CUGCCCAUCAGAAGGGGAUAACACUUGGAAACAGGUGCUAAUACCGUAUAACAAUCGAAACCGCAUGGUUUUGAUUUGAAAGGCGCUUUCGGGUGUCGCUGAUGGAUGGACCCGCGGUGCAUUAGCUAGUUGGUGAGGUAACGGCUCACCAAGGCCACGAUGCAUAGCCGACCUGAGAGGGUGAUCGGCCACAUUGGGACUGAGACACGGCCCAAACUCCUACGGGAGGCAGCAGUAGGGAAUCUUCGGCAAUGGACGAAAGUCUGACCGAGCAACGCCGCGUGAGUGAAGAAGGUUUUCGGAUCGUAAAACUCUGUUGUUAGAGAAGAACAAGGAUGAGAGUAACUGUUCAUCCCUUGACGGUAUCUAACCAGAAAGCCACGGCUAACUACGUGCCAGCAGCCGCGGUAAUACGUAGGUGGCAAGCGUUGUCCGGAUUUAUUGGGCGUAAAGCGAGCGCAGGCGGUUUCUUAAGUCUGAUGUGAAAGCCCCCGGCUCAACCGGGGAGGGUCAUUGGAAACUGGGAGACUUGAGUGCAGAAGAGGAGAGUGGAAUUCCAUGUGUAGCGGUGAAAUGCGUAGAUAUAUGGAGGAACACCAGUGGCGAAGGCGGCUCUCUGGUCUGUAACUGACGCUGAGGCUCGAAAGCGUGGGGAGCAAACAGGAUUAGAUACCCUGGUAGUCCACGCCGUAAACGAUGAGUGCUAAGUGUUGGAGGGUUUCCGCCCUUCAGUGCUGCAGCUAACGCAUUAAGCACUCCGCCUGGGGAGUACGACCGCAAGGUUGAAACUCAAAGGAAUUGACGGGGGCCCGCACAAGCGGUGGAGCAUGUGGUUUAAUUCGAAGCAACGCGAAGAACCUUACCAGGUCUUGACAUCCUUUGACCACUCUAGAGAUAGAGCUUCCCCUUCGGGGGCAAAGUGACAGGUGGUGCAUGGUUGUCGUCAGCUCGUGUCGUGAGAUGUUGGGUUAAGUCCCGCAACGAGCGCAACCCUUAUUGUUAGUUGCCAUCAUUCAGUUGGGCACUCUAGCAAGACUGCCGGUGACAAACCGGAGGAAGGUGGGGAUGACGUCAAAUCAUCAUGCCCCUUAUGACCUGGGCUACACACGUGCUACAAUGGGAAGUACAACGAGUUGCGAAGUCGCGAGGCUAAGCUAAUCUCUUAAAGCUUCUCUCAGUUCGGAUUGCAGGCUGCAACUCGCCUGCAUGAAGCCGGAAUCGCUAGUAAUCGCGGAUCAG
This 1239-nucleotide ribosomal RNA is filed under the name Enterococcus faecium. Its description in RNAcentral is "bacterial SSU rRNA". It matches the Rfam family "Bacterial small subunit ribosomal RNA", at positions 126 to 1352 of the family's 1533-position model. The record is from RNAcentral. Lineage: Bacteria; Bacillati; Bacillota; Bacilli; Lactobacillales; Enterococcaceae.